CGAUAUAUUAAUACUGCCGGGCAACCGGCUAUGGCGCUAAACACCAUACGGAAUAAGCGUUGCGGACCCGGGGGCGGUACCCGGCGCCUCCACCAAAUCCGGGCCUUCGGGCGGGAGAUCAGGGGGGCGAAACAGGAUCGACGCGCGUGGUAAAGGUUUGGCUUGCACCCGGCAUGAUUCCGCCGUUAUCGGGUCGAACACUACAGAUGCUAACGAUAACGUCGUUGCUCUCGCUGCCUAACUAGGUAAGCGCGGUUCGGGGGGCGCCGGGCAACAGAAGCCCCCCACUUCCCGCCCCGUCCGCGUUCCCGCACCGGGGCGUUCCGUUCGAA
RNAcentral lists this transfer-messenger RNA (332 nucleotides) under mine drainage metagenome. RNAcentral describes it as "transfer-messenger RNA, SsrA". The stretch from base 4 to 289 matches the Rfam family "Alphaproteobacteria transfer-messenger RNA". Rfam says of the family: Bacterial tmRNA, also known as 10Sa RNA or SsrA, is named for its dual tRNA and mRNA-like properties. Its role is to liberate the mRNA from a stalled ribosome. To accomplish this part of the tmRNA is used as a reading frame that ends in a translation stop signal. The record is from RNAcentral.